This 516-nucleotide long non-coding RNA is filed under the name Apteryx owenii (little spotted kiwi). Its description in RNAcentral is "lncRNA (ENSAOWG00000002460.1)". The record is from RNAcentral. Lineage: Eukaryota; Metazoa; Chordata; Aves; Apterygiformes; Apterygidae.
UUGCGCUUUAAUCAGGUGAGACAGCCGGCGAGACGUGAAUUUUUUCCUUUUCUCUUUACAGGCAGGCAACAGAAGCACAAAUUGUGUGGCUUGCUGAGUUCGCAUAGGAAUGGCCUUGCUAGCGAUGGAGGGAAAAUCCAGAUCUCCCAAGUACCAGACCAGCAUCUCCAUCAAAGAUCAUCCUUCUGCCUGGUUUCUGCUCUGGUUCCUGAAUGAUGCUCAACCCUUCUGUUCCUGAAGCGGAGCCUGUGCUUAGGACAACGCAUACAGCAGCUGAUGGAGAAUGCGCCGGCAUUUUGGAGGUGCUCAGGCUUCCAUAUUACACGUGUGGGACUGCAACAGCUGAAAGCAGGGCUGGGGGAUUCCUCGUGUGCAUCCAUCAUCUCUAAAUGCCUCUCUGCAUCCUGGUCUGAAUUCAGCAGCAAGUACAAGCAGCCUGGCUCACCGACAGCAGAUAAAGAAGAGCCAGCAUCCAAACUGGAUCCAUUUCUUUGAAGCUUAAAAAAUGGUCCGCUG